Molecule: long non-coding RNA, 273 nt
Organism: Vombatus ursinus (common wombat)
Lineage: Eukaryota; Metazoa; Chordata; Mammalia; Diprotodontia; Vombatidae
Exons: 3
Source: RefSeq, a predicted model, not a curated record
AAGAGAUUCUCUUUCCAAUUGUUGGAGUUACCAACUGGAGACUCAAGACGAACCAGAGAUUUUCAUUGAUAGAUAAUAUUAUAACUCACCCAAACAGAGAAAAGAUUAAAAUAAUCUGGACCAAAAAGGAACCCAGGUUGCCUCAAUCAAAGCAAGAGUAAGUCCAUAACCCGUGGAUGGAGCUGAAUGAUAUCAUUUGAGAAUAAAAGAUCCCAAAGCAUGUGAUGAAAGAUGAGAGUAAAGUUAAAGCAAACUGAGAUGAAUUACAGAGAG